GUAUUUUAAGACUUUUGGAGCUCUAGUCUCAAAAUGAAUAGGAUGGUAUUACGAACAGUGGAGAGCCCUGGCUUGCUUGCAAGUGUGAAAUCUGCUCUAGGGUCUUAAAUGAUGUCAAGUGAAAGCAAUGUCAACAGAGUGACUUGGUUGCCAGCAAGCUGUUGCAGGCAGAGGCUUUCCUGACGGAUGGGGUACAGAGAGGACGAUACCUGCCAAGUAGGAGGACGAUGUUCCUGGAGAAAAAUGGACAUGGGAUUUUUGGAUGCUGCUGCACUCCCUCGUUGUUGUUGAGAAGUUGCCCUCUUCCUCAGCAGGAUGAGUCAAGCCUGACUGGAGAUGGAGGAGAACUUGGACCCGUUGAUCUCUGAAGUCUUCCAUUCUGCAGACCUGGGAGCCUUAUUGCCUAGUACGUGGGAAGCCUGGAUGUGCCCAGACCCAACAGCAGGGUUGAGAUCGUGGCUGCCAUGCGCAGAAUCCGGUAUGAGUUUAAAGCCAAGAACAUCAAGAAGAAGAAAGUAAGCAUCAUGGUCUCUGUGGACGGUGUCAAGGUGAUUCUGAAGAAGAAGAAAAAGAAAAAGGAGUGGACGUGGGAUGAGAGCAAGAUGCUGGUGAUGCAGGACCCUAUCUACAGGAUCUUCUAUGUCUCUCAUGACUCCCAAGACUUGAAAAUCUUCAGCUAUAUUGCCAGAGAUGGUGCCAGCAAUAUCUUCAGAUGUAACGUCUUUAAAUCCAAAAAGAAGAGUCAAGCUAUGAGAAUCGUGCGGACAGUGGGACAGGCCUUCGAAGUCUGCCACAAGCUGAGCCUGCAGCACACACAGCAGAAUGCAGAUGGCCAGGAAGAUGGGGAGAGCGAGAGGAACAGUGAUGGCUCAGGAGACCCAGGCCGGCAGCUCACGGGAGCUGAGAGGGUCUCCACAGCCGCUGCAGAGGAGACAGACAUUGACGCCGUGGAGGUCCCACUCCCUGGGAAUGACAUUCUGGAAUUCAGCCGAGGUGUGACUGAUCUGGAUGCCGUAGGGAAGGAUGGAGGCUCCCACAUAGACUCAACGGUCUCACCCCACCCUCAGGAGCCCAUGCUGACAGCCUCCCCUCGAAUGCUGCUCCCUUCCUCUUCCUCGAAGCCGCCAGGCUUGGGCACGGGGACGCCCCUGUCCACUCACCACCAGAUGCAGCUCCUCCAGCAGCUCCUCCAGCAGCAGCAACAACAGACACAAGUGGCUGUGGCCCAGGUUCUCCUCAGCCUCCUCCCUUCUUCACAGGCUCCACUCUCAUGGGCUUGACGCACCUUCCCUAGCGAGGGGCUCAGGGCAGGUUUAAAACUUAGGGAGCUCUAAGGAAACUGCUCAUGCUAUGGGUUCAUUGCUUGUUGGGGUUCCGGGAAGUCAAAGGGGAGGGGGGACAGAUGGGGACUGCGGUUAAAAUGGAAAAAAAAAACAAAACAAAAUGAAACACAUUGGUUCCCCAUGUAUCCCUCGCUCUGAAUUAGGCUUGGCUGGCUUGGCUGAUGUUGUUGGAUAAUGACUUGAUCUUACCAAGGAAAAAAGAUGUACACAGGCCCUCCCUCCCUUUCCUGCCUUGUUUCCUUGUUUGGGGUGGGAAGGGGUGCCCUUGGAGUUAGGACAGGUGUGGCUAUGAUACUACUCUCAAAACGGCUCAAAGUAUGAAUCUGUGCCCAGCAUCCUUGCACAGACUUGCUACUCUGGCAUCCCAAACACUCUUGACCAUAAUGGGUACUCAAGACUCCAUUAGUGGUCCACUUAUUCCAGACAGUACUUGAUUAGGAAUUCAUUAUAAUAGCAAUGGACUUUUAGGAAUUUAGGUAGAUGAUCCGAGCCAUUUGAGAAGAACUGGCUACCUCUUAGCAUCCAGAUGGAGUCUGUGCCCUGAAGUCGGGUUGGAAUAUAGCUGCUUUGUGGGAGAUUGGGCUGAUCACCCUUGCUUGUUUUCAGAGGAAUCCUUGAGUUUGACUUCUAUGGAGGACACUGGUAAUUCAUGCUUCCUUGGAGACCAGUAGGCUGAGCCUUCUCUCUAUUAUGGGCAAGUCAGGGAUGGUGAAGAAACAUGCUUGAGUUCCAGGCAGGGUCAGGGAUUAUAUGGAUAGCUGAAGGUGGUCAGGAAGGGAGGAUAGUUGGAAAGUUAUCUGGGAAGGCCAAUGUAUGCACCAGCCUUCUUGUGUGUUCUGCCUCCUCUUCUCCUGACUCCGGAGUGAAGCGAAGCCCGAUGGCAGAGUGUUCCUUUCCUCUGUACACUUUCAGGAAGCAUCCGGCAGCCUAUCCUUAAUCAAAUCAGCAAGGGUGUGGCUUUAAAGAGCUCUCUUGUCAUCUUGCCUUUGCUGACUGUACCCGAGGCACCAGCCUUGUGGGUCACUUUGUUCCACAUUUCAGGAGACUUGGAAUCAGUGGGAUGCUGCUCCAAGGUACUAGAUAGAACCUCAGAGGUGGGGUGGGGGUGGGAAACCAGAGGAUAUGCGCGCCAGGUGGGAGGAUUUACAGGUGUAUCCAGAACAAUGACAGAGAAAGAGGAUGUCACUAAUGCCUUCUUAUGUUGGGGGAAAUAAAUAUCAUUCUUUGUCAAAUGAAAGAAUCUAUCUCUGGCUGAUGACAGAAUGACAGUCUGAGACUCUCCUCCUCAGGGUGCAGGAUGACAGGAAGAAGGCCUGAGCAUUUCAGCCCUGGCCCAUUCCAAGGCUCAGCAGUUCCCCAAGUUUCCCAUUGAAUACUUAUCCAUUAUCCAAGCAAUUCUCUUUCAGCCUAUCAAUCCCCAAGUAAUUAUUAUUUAUCUAAGAGUAGAUCUGAUGCAUAUUCAUGAUGUUUUAUUAUCAGAGAACAUCUGAAAUGGAAGUCAGCUCAGCUAAGUGCUAAAGGGAACCCGGUUGCAAGUGUCUAAUCUGCACACAGUGUUGUGGCAGUGGAAGGAAUCACUCAGCCUACAGUCAGUCAGAUUCACAACUUACCACAGGUCUGCUGCAGUCGGGACAAAACCCAAGAGUGGUUUUCUGGCAUAGGAAGUAUCUGUCUUAAUAAAACAUCCAUGUCCCUGCCCUACUGCCUAAUCGCCUCUCUCCUGGAAGACAGUGAGUCUAAGGGAAGAGUGCAGUAUAGUGUUCCAGAUUCAUUUCACAAGCACCAAAGCUGCAAGUAUGUUACCGGGUUGGUCAGCCCAAGCCUCUCAUUAACUCAGAGUCUGUUGGCUAUCGUUGGCAUUGAGCUGCUGGACUCUCAGCUCAAUCAGUGAUGUGAUGAAAGGUCACUAUAGGGCAUCGAUGCCCUGUAUUGACACAGUGACUUUGAGGAAAGUGGCAGGCUUCCAGAAUCUUUCAAACUAGACUUAAGGUCAUUGAUGGCUUCUCAACCAUAGUCCUCUGCUGUCCUUGACCACCUCCCUUCUACCUGCAUCUUCUGUACUGCUAGGGACACAGUAGGGAACAAUCGGACCUCUCAGAUGACCCUUGGCUCCUUGGUCCUGCAGAUGAGUUCCUAACCCAGCUUCUUCAAUCUCUCUUACUCUGUAGGAUCUGAUCCAAGGCCUUUCUGUUAUUAUCUCUAUCCAUGGAUAAAAUCAGUUACAUAAGAUAUGCAGGUCAGUUGAUGACAGGUCAUGCUGGCCUUGUUUACACACCUGCAACAGACCAACUCUAGCAUGCUUGGUUCUUCCGCAGGACAGAUUAGUUUCUGAUGAAGAAAAGUCAGCUUUUACUUGUUCUGUCAGACUACUGCUGGCAAACUGCAGGGUCUCUGUCUUUCAUUGGACUCUCAGUAGUCCCCAGAAUUCAGUAAGUAUGUCAUCUCAGUGUUUAGGGUAAGAACAUAGUUUCUGUUUCUCAGAGCUUCCAAGCCUCUGUGCAAUACUUCUCAGUUUAAAAUCUAAGGGUAAAGCCCCAGUUUCAUGCAGCUAUGUGUGCUCUUGAAGUCGCUUGUUGCAUUCUUUAUGCCCCCAGUGCGUUUGUUCUCAUGCACUGGUCUGAUUUGGCUGCUGUCUUUAGACCCAUAUUUAGUUCUUUUUGAUGUCGUGACUUUUUCUAAGGCCUCCAAAGACCUCUUCCAGCCUCACCUCCAUUCUUUCAGAGCUGAUCUUGAACAUGCCUUCCUUGGUCUUACACUCAUAGGUCAAAGACAGUGUUACCCAACUCCUAAGUACUUCCGGGUCAUUCUUGAGUGUGUAAAUACUGACUUACCCCAGUCCCUCUGCAGCUCUCCCAGCCCAGCAUGAGCCUUGCCUGGCUGCAUUAGCUUUUCUGCUUUUACAGUGGCCCAGAAGUUCAAGGGUGUGGGUGAACAUAUAACCACACCUUGAAUGGUACCUGGUGCCUGCAUAGCUGCAUGCUGGGCCUGCCUGGCUCCAGGAUUGUGUGUGAGUGACAGCUGUUAAGUGGGCCAGAUCUGUUCAUCAUUUGCCAAGCCCUAGCCUAGCUCUUGGGGGGGGGAAUAAAAUAAUAACAAUAGCAAAGCUCAUUGUUGCUAUUUAAAGAGCUCCUCUACCUGUUGCUACUUGUGCUUAUUCAGGAACAAGUAAUUUGUUAUUUAUGCUUUGUGCUUUGUGGUCCUGUGUGUGUGCUGUAGUUAGAGCAACAGUGCUGAAAUGCUUUGUGCCCCCACCCAGGCCCUCCACAUAGCAUCUGUCCUUGUGGCUUCUCCCAGUCCCCAGCCCUGCCCAAGUCCCUGGUAUAUGCAUGCUGAGACAGCGCUGCCUGCCUCUGCUUCCGUCUGGUAUGGUGAAGGGGGCGGGGGCAGGUGCGCAAAUUGCUCUGGUUAUCUCCACUGCCAUUUCCAUGUGCCCCCCACUCCCUAACUUCAGCCUGGCCCUGCCCUCACUUCUGAUGGAGGAGCUGGAGUCCAGGUACACUUACUGAAGGAUCAGUUGGCUGCUGAGGCUGCGGCGCGGCUGGAGGCCCAGGCACGAGUGCACCAGCUCCUGCUGCAGAACAAAGACAUGCUCCAGCACAUCUCUCUGCUGGUCAAGCAGGUGCAGGAGCUGGAGCUGAAGCUGUCAGGACAGAACACCAUGGGCUCCCAGGACAGCUUGCUGGAGAUCACCUUCCGUUCAGGUGCCCUGCCUGUGCUCUGUGAAUCCACCACCCCUAAGCCAGAGGACCUACACUCACCACUGCUGGGCGCUGGCUUGGCUGACUUUGCCCACCCAGCGGGCAGCCCUUUAGGUAGGCAUGACUGCUUGGUGAAGCUGGAGUGCUUUCGCUUCCUCCCACCUGAGGAUACCCAGCCGAUGAUGGCACAGGGUGAGCCGCUCCUAGGUGGCCUGGAGCUCAUCAAGUUCCGAGAGUCGGGCAUCGCCUCUGAGUAUGAGUCCAACACAGACGAAAGCGAGGAGCGUGACUCAUGGUCACAGGAAGAGCUGCCACGCCUGCUCAAUGUCUUACAGCGGCAGGAGUUGGGUGACAGUUUGGAUGAUGAGAUCGCCGUGUAGGUGCAGGGCGAGGAGCUGGUGAAGGUGGUAGCAUGGUGCCAAGUGGGGGGUCAAGUCUGCCUGUCCCUGGCUGGGGAUGCCCAGGGGAAAGCGCUGCUGAGAACAACACCCAGGGUGGAGAGUGUAGGGUUUCAGAAGAGGGUUGGGAUUUUGCUUUGGAAGGUAAAUGGGGGGGAAGAAAUUGGAUUCUUAGAGACAGGAAUCAGCACCUGUCUUCUGCUAAUGUCUGAAUGGGGUGGAAGCAGGGCUUUCCAGAACCCAGGGCCUUGGGAUGGUCCAUCUUCAGAACCACAGUUCUGGAAGGCCCGUUGCUGCCACCGCUAUCGUCAGGUUCUACCCAAUCUGUCCUCCACGUCUCAGUGACCUACGCUCUCCUGUCUCUGUGGUGCAGACCAUAAAAGGAAGCCAUUGGUACCUUCUCAGGUACUUAGCUUUUUGGAUAUCAGGAUGCUACAAGUUGCCUAACCCUCCCUUCCACUGUAGGAGAAUCCCUUCCCCAGGCCCUGGCUGAGAUCGUAGACGUUGGACAAUUCCCAGGGCUGCUGGGAAAGUGAGCUCUGCCAUUCAGUGAGCAUGGAGGUGACCGGAGUCACAAGUCACAGUGAAAAAACUAGGAAUUGACUCUAGCUGGGUGUUGGGUGUUGCUUCUGAGGACGCUGGGGGUGUUAAUAGGAUUGAAGACCCUGCUGGGAAAGCCUAGGGAAGGGUUAGCCUAGGGGUGCUUAUGAGAUUGCUGCAGCUCAUGUAGGUUUGAUUCUUCAGUUUGGAAACCCUGCCCCGACCUAUCUCCUGCCUGCAACCCAGCUCAUAUAAAUGAGUCUAAGAGCUAUCCUAUUAUCCCUUUUCCUGCCUCGGGGGCUGUGCCUGCCUAAGCUUUGGCAGUACUAUGCCUUUGUGUAAGUCUCAUAGACCCAGAACCCCCUGCCUUAGCUUUCUACCUGUCCCCUCCACUGGGCAGUAGUGGUCGGUUUUUACUGAAAAAAAAAAAAAGAAAGAAAAAAGAGAGAAAGAAAUGGAUGUAAGCUGAUAGCUGAGGCUGUCUACCCUUCAGAAUCACUGCCACUUAGAUCAGAUCAGGGACCACAGCUGUGCCACCCCAGCCUAGCUCUCUGCAGGUGUGUGCCUUGAGCACAGGUGUUAAAAGUGCAACCUUAAUCUCUUACCAUCUAGGUCUUGCCUAGGGGGUCUCCACUCAAUAGUUGGCUGGCUAGGUCCACAAGAAAAGUUCCUUUCCCCCUGUAAGACCUUAACUGCUUAAUAGUUAUUUCAACCUCUGAAGAGAACACUGAUACCCGUUCCAAGUCAUAUGAUGUGGGGAGGAGGCCCUGUUCAUCCUACAAGCCGUAGGCCAGAGUGCAGUGUUAUCAAAGGGACUGUAAGGAAGGAUGGAGUUCUUCAGCCCAAGCUUUGCUUCGAAAUGUAUCAAAAUGCAAACAUGGCCCUUUUUAUAGCCACAGUGGGGUCUCUUUUAAACGAAACAGGCAGUAGAGUUAAAGGAAAUUAACACAGCUUUAUACUAUCACUCCCUAGUGCAUGGGGAUGUUGAUAGUAAUAGAAUGGAGCGGGUGUGUGUGUGUGUGUGUGUGUCUGUGUCUGUGUCUGUGUGUCUGUGUGUGUAUGUGUAGUAAUAGAAUGAAGUGUGUGUGUAUAUAGUAAUAGAAUGGGGUGACUGUGUGUGUGUGUGUGUGUGUGUGUGUGUGUGUGUGUGGUGUGGACAUACUUUUGGACAUCUGAGAAGUGACUAGAAAGAUUCUCCAGGGUGUUCAGAUAAAUGGUAGGGUUGUAUCCUUUUCCCACCCUGAUUUUAUUGACAAGGUAGAAUUCUGUUAGUUUUCUAAUUAACCAUUGGAAGGAGGUCCUGAUACACAAGGAAGGGAGAAUUCCCAGUGUGAGGUCCACAAAACUGAAGGGGGCAGAUGGCGGGGAUUCAAGACAGGCUGAGCUGAAUUUACUCAAUCCCAAUCCAGGGUUCCUUGAGUCUAGGACCUUCAGAUGUAGGCUUUUGUGUAUCAGAGAGAGUGGGAUGUCUGUUUCCUCGAGGUCUACUUCCUGUGAGUGGGGGCUGAGAGUAAAAUCAGAAACAAGUGGAAGUGUGUGGACUGUGGGUGGAAAGGGCUUUGUAGGAUACAGUGAAGAGAGUAUGUGGGCAAGAUGAUGGCUUUUAAAACUCUGUAAAGGAGAAGGAAGGAAUGAAGAGAUGGGAGAACUGGAGAAAUGGCUAAUGGAUGGAUAGAUGCCGACUCAAGACUCAUGUAAGACUUUGUUUGCCCUUGGUUUCUGUCUUUUUUGACCUUCCCCUUUCCCUGAUUAAAGACAUCCCUGGAGAAUUCAUUCAUGUGCCACAUCCUCCCCAGUAAGACCCAAAUCUGGACACAUUUGGUAUGUGGAGAUGAGAAACCAAGAAAAGAUGUAGGGGCCUUGUGGGGUCACCAGCCACCGACCCUCCAUUUAGGCCAAUGAACAAGACAGGAAAUGUCACAGACCUGAUUCCCCGCAGCAGCAUCCUUCCUUGCUUCUUGCUCUGCUAACUCAACCCUGCCUUCCUCCUUUUCAUCCUUCUGCUCUGCCCUAUGUGGAGGACACAUGGACACCAAGGGGUUCCUUAGUGGUGCCCGCCCCAGGUGCAAGAAAGCUCUCGGGCAUACAAGGCUUCGCAAUUGCAGAGGCAGGACAGAUCUCUGCCCAGGAUGGACUGCACAUGGGAACUGGAAACCGUAUUCCUUACAUUCCUGCUUCUACUGAUGCUGUCUGUAAGAACCUUUCUGAGCCUCGCUCUCAGCUGACCUUGUUUACGGAUUGUGUUCCUUGAUUUACUCUUUGCUUGACUGCUCUCCCCUCUCCUCCCUCCCACCUACCCUAGCCUUCUGCUUCCUAAAACUGUUUUGUCAUUAACUGUUGGGUCAGCUCUCUGGGAAACGGUUCUGUUGCUGUAAGUGCACUUACCCUUGGAUGGUGUCACUAGUUAGUGGCUUUUGCUAAAUAAACCUUUCUGAUUUCUAAAA
This is an RNA transcript of Mus musculus (house mouse), 8423 nucleotides long. It is a transcript of the gene named nitric oxide synthase 1 (neuronal) adaptor protein, with no coding region annotated. Lineage: Eukaryota; Metazoa; Chordata; Mammalia; Rodentia; Muridae. The transcript has 10 exons. The record is from RefSeq and is marked validated.